AUACGGGGGGGGCUAGCGUUGUUCGGAAUUACUGGGCGUAAAGCGCACGUAGGCGGAUUAAAAAGUUAGAGGUGAAAUCCCAGGGCUUAACCCUGGAACUGCUUUUAAAACUAGUAGUCUAGAGUUCGAGAGAGGUGAGUGGAAUUCCAAGUGUAGAGGUGAAAUUCGUAGAUAUUUGGAGGAACACCAGUGGCGAAGGCGGCUCACUGGCUCGAUACUGACGCUGAGGUGCGAAAGCGUGGGGAGCAAACAGGAUUAGAAACCCCGGUAGUCC
Molecule: ribosomal RNA, 274 nt
Filed under: uncultured bacterium
Lineage: Bacteria
Description: partial 16S ribosomal RNA
Rfam family: Bacterial small subunit ribosomal RNA
Source: RNAcentral